GGGCGGAUAGCUCAAACGGCCAGAGCGCUUGCCUUACAAGCAAGAGGCUCCGGGUUCGAAUCCCGGUCUGCCCACCA
RNAcentral lists this transfer RNA (77 nucleotides) under Candidatus Brocadiaceae bacterium. Its description in RNAcentral is "tRNA-Val". It matches the Rfam family "tRNA". Rfam says of the family: Transfer RNA (tRNA) molecules are approximately 80 nucleotides in length. Their secondary structure includes four short double-helical elements and three loops (D, anti-codon, and T loops). Further hydrogen bonds mediate the characteristic L-shaped molecular structure. tRNAs have two regions of fundamental functional importance: the anti-codon, which is responsible for specific mRNA codon recognition, and the 3' end, to which the tRNAs corresponding amino acid is attached (by aminoacyl-tRNA synthetases). tRNAs cope with the degeneracy of the genetic code in two manners: having more than one tRNA (with a specific anti-codon) for a particular amino acid; and 'wobble' base-pairing, i.e. permitting non-standard base-pairing at the 3rd anti-codon position. The record is from RNAcentral. Lineage: Bacteria; Pseudomonadati; Planctomycetota; Candidatus Brocadiia; Candidatus Brocadiales; Candidatus Brocadiaceae.